This 330-nucleotide ribosomal RNA is filed under the name uncultured bacterium. RNAcentral describes it as "bacterial SSU rRNA". It matches the Rfam family "Bacterial small subunit ribosomal RNA", at positions 568 to 898 of the family's 1533-position model. The record is from RNAcentral.
CGCGUAGGCGGAUGCUUAAGUCAGAGGUGAAAGCCCAGGGCUCAACCUUGGAACUGCCUUUGAUACUGGGCAUCUUGAGUACGGGAGAGGUGAGUGGAACUCCGAGUGUAGAGGUGAAAUUCGUAGAUAUUCGGAAGAACACCAGUGGCGAAGGCGACUCACUGGCCCGUUACUGACGCUGAGGCGCGAAAGCGUGGGGAGCAAACAGGAUUAGAUACCCUGGUAGUCCACGCUGUAAACGAUGAGUGCUAGUUGUCGGCAUGCAUGCAUGUCGGUGACGCAGCUAACGCAUUAAGCACUCCGCCUGGGGAGUACGGUCGCAAGAUUAAA